Lactuca sativa (garden lettuce) is the source of this 387-nucleotide long non-coding RNA. RefSeq lists it as uncharacterized. Lineage: Eukaryota; Viridiplantae; Streptophyta; Magnoliopsida; Asterales; Asteraceae. The record is from RefSeq and is a predicted model, not a curated record.
CAUUUAGAAAUUAUCCUUGAAGUGAUUGGGAGUGAUUUUCGUACACAUAAACAUGACCAAUCUUAAGUACUCUUACUUGUUAUUCUUCAUUGUUGUUAUCGCAGUUGGAGUUUCGAUGGUCAGUGGACAGGAAAGAUGUAAAGAUGUUUUAUAUGAAGGCCAAUGUGAGCCAGCUGAUUGCCAAGAAAAAUGUACUAUAAACCACUCCAAUAGCGUAGGAGAGUGUUGGCGUUGGUCCGGAAAUAAUGUUCCUUAUUGUUUGUGUAAUUUCCUUUGUAGUUAAACUUAAAGGUUUAAGGUUCCAUAUAAGAAGAAUUGGAAUCAUAUUUAAUAGCGUACCUAUGAUGUUCUACAUGUUUUCAAUAUAAUAAGUGGAUUUCUCUUAAA